RNAcentral lists this ribosomal RNA (496 nucleotides) under uncultured bacterium. Its description in RNAcentral is "partial 16S ribosomal RNA". It matches the Rfam family "Bacterial small subunit ribosomal RNA", at positions 28 to 506 of the family's 1533-position model. The record is from RNAcentral.
GAUGAACGCUGGCGGCGUGCCUAAUACAUGCAAGUCGAGCGAACAGACGAGGAGCUUGCUCCUCUGACGUUAGCGGCGGACGGGUGAGUAACACGUGGAUAACCUACCUAUAAGACUGGGAUAACUUCGGGAAACCGGAGCUAAUACCGGAUAAUAUAUUGAACCGCAUGGUUCAAUAGUGAAAGACGGUUUUGCUGUCACUUAUAGAUGGAUCCGCGCUGCAUUAGCUAGUUGGUAAGGUAACGGCUUACCAAGGCAACGAUGCGUAGCCGACCUGAGAGGGUGAUCGGCCACACUGGAACUGAGACACGGUCCAGAAUCCUACGGGAGGCAGCAGUAGGGAAUCUUCCGCAAUGGGCGAAAGCGUGACGGAGCAACGCCGCGUGAGUGAUGAAGGUCUUCGGAUCGUAAAACUCUGUUAUUAGGGAAGAACAAAUGUGUAAGUAACUAUGCACGUCUUGACGGUACCGAAGCAGAAAGCCACGGCUAACUACGU